GGAAAACAAACAAAACCUCACAGUUUUGAAAAUAUGGUCCAGACAUGCUGAAUGCUCAUAAAAGGGCAGAGAGUCCGCAGAUGGAAUAGAAAAAACAGCUUAAAAUGUCAUCAGAAGUUGUUGUGAUCUUUGGUGAGUUUCUUUCUCCCCUUAAUCUGAUCUCCAUUUAUUGUUCUUUCAGUCUUUACCUGACAGCAACUGAUGAAAUUCAGAGCCAGAAGUUGCCACCAGGGCCACCUGGUGCUGAAAGCCCUGCCCAGGUGGGCAGCAGCCACUGCUGUGCUCAGUGAGCUCUCAGAGGUGGUCCCAAAAGCCAACAUAGAGAAAGCAAGCCUCAGUCCUGAGCAGAAGAUAAGGAGCAGAAUGACCUUGCAUCUUCCAUCCAUACACCUGAGGUUAACAGUCAAGGAACCUGAGGCCAGGGGAGAGAAAGUGUUCUGUGCAAGGAGUGGAAGAGAGCUAUCAGCAGCAGUGCCUUUCCCAGCACACCGCCAUCGGCCCGGUGAUGGAUGGAGCUCCUCCCGUGUCCCAGCAGGCAUGACAAUAACUGUCACCAACUGCAAGUAAAACUGAAGCAAUUAAUACUGAGGGCACAGCCAUCCUUCACUCACUCUCGUGCAGUUGGCUCCCCUGUAAACAGUAAGAAUUUUAAUUUCUUGCUUGGCUUAGGUUGGGCUUGGUUGUACGUAAGAUAAUCCUAGUGCAGAGCUGCAGGACCUCCUUGGGACAAAGCUUAACCACUGGGACACCCAGCCCUUAAGGGGAAGCUGGAGGCUUCUCCUGAGCUAUUCCUGCAACAAGCUGAAAACGUUGGUGUUAUUUAUGAUGUCUAGAUGGGGCGUGGAACUUCAUUUAUUGUCAUGCAAAAAAUACGCAUCAACAGGCUCGAUGCAAAUCCCCAGCACUCCAAUAGCUGCUCGAGGACCAGUGCACUUCAGCAAGCCUAAUCCAAAGGGGAACACGCUGUGAGGGAAGGGGACUGCAGCUUAGGAGCAAAGCUGGGAUAGGUGAGAUCAACCUGGAGCAAAAAGAACAGCGAGAGCCGUGCUGCCUGCACAAGGCUGGAUCCCUCUCCCCACCUAUUGUGUCGAGAACUAGAAGUCUAUCACCUCAGCCUAAUGGAGCAUCAUCAGCUCACCUCAAUGAGGCACUUAAUCGAAAGAGCAUUUAUACCACUUGGAUUGCCAGCCGCACUUUAUGACAGCUCUUUGCACAAGAGAUGUCAUUGUGCAUUUACUUCUUUGUUAGACUAGAUUGGAGUUAUCAGCGGUUGAGUAAACCCUGCCAUUCGCAGGAACACCCUGCAUACGUUUGCAGGACAGAGAGGAACAGAAGAGGAAAAAGGACGGGCUGAUAGAGGCAGGCGUGACUUGAACAACAAGGAGGAAAACAACAAAGCGCGACAAGAUUUUGAGGCGUACCGUCAGCUGAUGGCAACGCUCAGGGUGUGAAAAAUAAGUAAUUGACAGCAGUUAGCAUGCAGGACAGAGCAGAGUUCUUAACGCAGUGAGAUUUUCUGUGCAGCUCUCUGAUUUCGGUCCUUGUUCCUGCCCGUCGCUCAGGUAAC
RNAcentral lists this long non-coding RNA (1567 nucleotides) under Phasianus colchicus (ring-necked pheasant). RNAcentral's name for it is "lncRNA (ENSPCLG00000006026.1)". Lineage: Eukaryota; Metazoa; Chordata; Aves; Galliformes; Phasianidae. The record is from RNAcentral.